AUUAAAAGUAACCAACUAAACAUAACAAAUAAAAUAAAAUAAGAGAAAAAAAGAUGCAAGUGUCCAAUAGGGGUGUGGUAUUAACCAUAACGCUAAUCUUGUUUCUAAUGGCAUCGUCAGUGGCUGCUAUUCGUGAAGAACCAUCUUCGAUUGGAGUCGAGAGAAAGGUUCCAGGAAGUUCUGAUCCUAUACAUAAUCAUGAAGAACCAUCUUCGAUUGGAGUCGAGAGAAAGGUUCCAGGAGGUCCUGAUCCUAUACAUAAUCAUGAAGAACCAUCUUCGAUUGGAGUUGAGAGAAAGGUUUCAGGAGGUCCUGAUCCUAUACAUAAU
Molecule: non-coding RNA, 329 nt
Organism: Camelina sativa (false flax)
Lineage: Eukaryota; Viridiplantae; Streptophyta; Magnoliopsida; Brassicales; Brassicaceae
Source: RefSeq, a predicted model, not a curated record